GCUGGGCAUGGUGGCCCUCACCUGUAAUCCCAGCAGCUGGGGAAGCUGAGGCAGGAGGAUCCAGAGUUCAAAGCCUGCCUCAACAACAGCAAGAUGUUGAGCAACUCAGUGAGACCCUGUCUCUA
This 125-nucleotide small RNA is filed under the name Marmota monax (woodchuck). The record is from RNAcentral. Lineage: Eukaryota; Metazoa; Chordata; Mammalia; Rodentia; Sciuridae.